GGCUGAAGUAGCAGCGGCAAGACAGGAGUAGGAGUAGUCCAGAGAUAACAAAAGGAUUAAAUUACAUGUCCAUCUUUCUCAUCAUCCUCGAUGUCAUCAUGCAGAACCCAGGUUGGAUCCACAUUGUAGCGAACUGUACUGGAAUUUUUUGCAAACAUGACUGCUGCUCCCAGAGCAUAUUGUAUGGAAUAAAAUGUAAAUGGACUGCCUUCCAAUCAAUCCGACUUAUGGCGACCCUAUGAGUAGGGUUUUCAUGAUCCACUGUAUGGUCAAAGAUGAAGUGGGGGAAACGAAGCCACCACAUCAAUAUCAAUCUGCAUACUGCGCAGCUGGUGCCCAUGAGAUGAAGAGUGGUAGCAAACUACCAUAACUGAAAGUUGGUAUAAAACAAGUCA
This is a long non-coding RNA of Rhineura floridana, 395 nucleotides long. RefSeq lists it as uncharacterized. The transcript has 3 exons. The record is from RefSeq and is a predicted model, not a curated record. NCBI's taxonomy places the organism in Eukaryota, Metazoa, Chordata, Lepidosauria, Squamata, Rhineuridae.